GUGGUUAAGUGAAUAAGGGCGCGUGGUGGAUGCCUUGGCACUAGGAGCCGAUGAAGGACGUGACUAACUACGAUAAGCUUUGGUGAGCGGUAAGUACGCUAUGACCCAGAGAUUUCCGAAUGGGGAAACCCAGCACAUAGAAGUGCUAUCCAUAUCUGAAUACAUAGGAUAUUGGAAGGAAUACGCUGUGAACUGAAACAUCUCAUUAGCAGCAGGAGCAGAAAGAAAAAUCGAUUCCCUGAGUAGCGGCGAGCGAAACGGGAAGAGCCCAAACCAGUGUGCUUGCAUGCUGGGGUUGUAGGACUGUCGUUGAGUUACCAAGACAGAAGUUAGGUGAAAACGUUGGGAAGCGUUGUCAAAGAGGGUGAUAACCCCGUAACCGAAAGCUUUUGUCCUCUAGACAGGAUCCUGAGUACGGCCGGACACGAGAAAUCCGGUCGGAAUCUGCGGGGACCAUCCCGUAAGGCUAAAUACUCCCUAGUGACCGAUAGUGAACCAGUACCGUGAGGGAAAGGUGAAAAGCACCCCGGAAGGGGAGUGAAAUAGUUCCUGAAACCACGACGCCUACAAGAAGUCAGAGCCCGUUAACGGGUGAUGGCGUGCCUUUUGUAGAAUGAACCGGCGAGUUACGGUAUCGUGCGAGGUUAAGGUGAAAAAACCGGAGCCGCAGCGAAAGCGAGUGUGAAUAGCGCGAAUAGUACGAUGCUGUAGACCCGAAACCAGGUGACCUACCCAUGGUCAGGAUGAAGGUGAGGUAAAACUUACUGGAGGUCCGAACCGGUGCAUGUUAAAAAAUGCUCGGAUGAACUGUGGGUAGCGGUGAAAUUCCAAACGAACUUGGAGAUAGCUGGUUCUCUCCGAAAUAGCUUUAGGGCUAGCCUCAUUAUAAGCAUACUGGAGGUAGAGCACUGUUAAGCCUAGGGGCCCAUCUCGGGUUACCAAAGUUUGAUAAACUCCGAAUGCCAGAUAUGUAUGAAUGGGAGUCAGACGAUGAGUGAUAAGAUCCACCGUCGAAAGGGGAACAGCCCAGACUGCCAGUUAAGGUCCCCAAAUAUAUGUUAAGUGGAAAACGAUGUGAUAGUGCAUAGACAACUAGGAUGUUGGCUUAGAAGCAGCCACCAUUUAAAGAGUGCGUAAUAGCUCACUAGUCGAGUGC
This 1156-nucleotide ribosomal RNA is filed under the name Fructobacillus pseudoficulneus. Its description in RNAcentral is "bacterial LSU rRNA". It matches the Rfam family "Bacterial large subunit ribosomal RNA", at positions 1 to 1156 of the family's 2925-position model. Lineage: Bacteria; Bacillati; Bacillota; Bacilli; Lactobacillales; Lactobacillaceae. The record is from RNAcentral.